UACGGGGGGUGCAAGCGUUACUCGGAAUUACUGGGCGUAAAGCGCACGCAGGCGGUCUGUCAAGUCGGAUGUGAAAUCCCCGGGCUCAACCUGGGAACUGCAUUCGAAACUGGCAGGCUAGAGUCUUGUAGAGGGGGGUAGAAUUCCAGGUGUAGCGGUGAAAUGCGUAGAGAUCUGGAGGAAUACCGGUGGCGAAGGCGGCCCCCUGGACAAAGACUGACGCUCAGGUGCGAAAGCGUGGGGAGCAAACAGG
Molecule: ribosomal RNA, 253 nt
Filed under: uncultured bacterium
Lineage: Bacteria
Description: partial 16S ribosomal RNA
Rfam family: Bacterial small subunit ribosomal RNA
Source: RNAcentral